AACAAACCGGCUGGCGCGCGGCCUCGACUUGGUUUGUUUACACGCCGUAUGUACGCGAGUCUUUCUAUCAUUCGUUUAACGAGACUCAAGCUGGUAGUAGCAGAAGCUUUGUAUUCUUUCUUGAAACGCGAUCAUUCUUUACGAACAUUUAGCAAUUACGAUUAAUCAAUUCUAAUCGAUUAAAUAAAUGCCAGAAAAUGUUUCGCGCAACUUAUUCGUUAAAUAGAAGCGAUAAAGAAUAGAAAUUAUAAAUUACUAAUAUAUGAUAUGUUUAAGUCCGACAGUAAGAACUUUUAGUGAACUAUAUAAACUUUUUGCGAGUGUGUGUGUGCAACGUACCCUCUGACGACCCUUCAACAACCUAAGAGAAGGAGAAGACUUCGAGACAUCGAGUUCGCUGCUGGAGUAAUCUUGGGAAAAGCGAAAGAAGCUUGAAUGAAGAAAGUCAUCGCACCGUUUCGAGAAUUCACCUCUCUCGAUUAGCCCGCGGCGUUCUUUGAAUUUCCUGGAAGCAAGUACUCAUCUCGACCGGUGUACGGGUGUCAGGCACGAAGGAGAUACUUUCGCGAUAUUCUGCGUGAAAAUCGCGAACGCAAUCCAUCCAGAGCGCCGUCCAGAGAUGCCUAGGACAUCUUUAUGCAUCACGUGACAUCUGCAGGAGCGGAAGCUGUAAACGAAACGCGGAACACAAGACGAAGGAAGAAAGCGAGCUGAAAAAUGUGCAUCCCCACGCGACUCUCCACAAGUAAUGCACACAAUAAUCGCGCCAGUGAAGUCUCUAAAGCCGACAUUGUGAGAGGCCCGGAUAGAACGACGCCAUUUUUCAUAUCGCGCCCGCGGGCGACGCGCUCGCAUAAAGGAAGAAAGAAACAAAAAAGGAGAAUCGCGCCGAUGCGAUAAUAAUUGCCGAUUUUAUGCAGCUAAUGAAAGACGCCCACCUAGACAGAUCUCAGUGGAGUCUCGGUGACAGCGAGAAGAAAUAAUUCUCCGAACUGUCACCAUUGUCAUCGAGAUACGUAUGGACGUUUGACACAGAAAUCCUAGCGAGGAAUGUCAACCUUCCACUCUUUACCGCGGAUCUCUUCUCGUCUAAUCUUCGCAUUGUGUUUGCGAGAGAA
Long non-coding RNA from Camponotus floridanus (Florida carpenter ant), 1118 nucleotides. RefSeq lists it as uncharacterized. The record is from RefSeq and is a predicted model, not a curated record. Lineage: Eukaryota; Metazoa; Arthropoda; Insecta; Hymenoptera; Formicidae. The transcript has 3 exons.